This 110-nucleotide non-coding RNA is filed under the name Desulforamulus ruminis. RNAcentral describes it as "Desulfotomaculum ruminis SAM-I sequence". It matches the Rfam family "SAM riboswitch aptamer (S box leader)". From Rfam's summary of the family: The SAM riboswitch is found upstream of a number of genes which code for proteins involved in methionine or cysteine biosynthesis in Gram-positive bacteria. The SAM riboswitch acts at the level of transcription termination control. RNAcentral also lists the same sequence under 1 other name. Lineage: Bacteria; Bacillati; Bacillota; Clostridia; Eubacteriales; Peptococcaceae. The record is from RNAcentral.
AUCUUAUCAAGAGUGGUGGAGGGACUGGCCCUAUGAAGCCCGGCAACCGGCCAAUCAUUCUGGCGGCGGUGCCAACUCCUGCAGGACUGCGCGGUCCUGAGAGAUGAGUC